AGCAGCCGCGGUAAUUCCAGCUCCAAUAGCGUAUAUUAAAGUUGUUGCAGUUAAAAAGCUCGUAGUUGAAUUUCGGGACCAAUAUGUCGGUCGUGCCUCGGUACGUACUGGUGUCAUUGGUUUCUCUCUUCUGAGGAUCCUUGAUGUCAUUAAUUUGGUGUCUUGGGAAAUCAGGACUGUUACCUUGAAAAAAUUGAGUGUUUAAAGCAGGCAUACGCUUGAAUACAUUAGCAUGGAAUAAUGAAAUAGGACGUUCGAUUCUAUUUUGUUGGUUUCUAGGAUCGACGUAAUGAUUAAUAGGGAUAGUUGGGGGCAUUAGUAUUCAAUUGUCAGAGGUGAAAUUCUUGGAUUUAUUGAAGACUAACUACUGCGAAAGCAUUUGCCAAGGAUGUUUUCAUUAAUCAAGAACGAAAGUUAGGGGAUCGAAGACGAUCAGAUACCGUCGUAGUC
RNAcentral lists this ribosomal RNA (450 nucleotides) under uncultured Glomeromycotina. RNAcentral describes it as "SSU rRNA". It matches the Rfam family "Eukaryotic small subunit ribosomal RNA", at positions 569 to 1025 of the family's 1831-position model. Lineage: Eukaryota; Fungi; Glomeromycota. The record is from RNAcentral.